UUUAACUCGCACACUGGGUCUCCCUCUUGUCUUUCUUUACAUCGCAAGGGUUUUUUUUCUUUUUCCUUCCAGCGCCAUGGAGGGUUCGUCUUCUCAGCCGUCCGAUUCAAAUCCAACGGUUUCUGGCGCUUCCAAAUUCCUCUCUAAUCUUCCUUCUCGGGGCUUCUUGUCCUCUACCGUUCUCUCUUCAAAUCCGGGUGGGAUGCGAGUCUACAUCUGUGAGCAUGAUACGUUGCCUCCAGAGGGCCAAGAGAUAAAGACUAAUCAAACAAACAUAUUGAUUAGAUCGCUCCAGCUUAACAAACAAAAGGGUGAUUCCAGUUCAAAGGAUAUGAAGGGAGUAACUGCAGCAGAGGGUUCUAGAAAGCGUGCUUCAGAAAGGGUUCAGGAUGGCAGGGCUUCAGCUAAAAGAAGCAAUAGUCAAACUGGUUCUCGNNNNNNNNNNNCAGGUGAUAGGGACUUGUACAGUUUGACAGUAGAAAGGCUUCGUGCUCUUCUGAAGGAGCGGGGUCUUUCACCCAGAGGAAAGAAGGAUGAACUGGUUGCAAGGU
Molecule: unclassified non-coding RNA, 551 nt
Filed under: Hevea brasiliensis (rubber tree)
Lineage: Eukaryota; Viridiplantae; Streptophyta; Magnoliopsida; Malpighiales; Euphorbiaceae
Source: RNAcentral